AGAAGACUUAAAUAGGGAUGCUCAUGAAAUUGAUAUAUUCCACCUUUAUUAUGCAAGUGCCAUGGGGCAUCUGAACUCAGCUAAGAGCAAGGUUGACUGUUAAAGGAAGGCCUCUCAACAUAGCAUGAACCCACAAGGCCACAGUCCUUAUGAGGACACACUCUUGGUAUGCAUAAGCUUCACUCUUGGGCACAGUCAGCAAGGGCCAUGACUGCUAAGCCCCAGAGGGGCUCUCUACAGGCAAUUCCCAUAGGGAGUAUCAGGGUGCAGGUCCCAGUGACUAGCCCUUAGAGGGGUGCUCCCUAUCCUUUUCCACCACAUUCUGCUUCAUCCACAGCCCAGCUGAUGACCAGGUAUACACUCUCCAAGUGCACAGAUCCCUGAGGGGAGGCUGCCUCCGACCAUUGCAAGCCAUCUUCCUAACUGAAAACAGCAGCUGGAUAGUGGCUUCAACAGAAUCUGUACUUGCCCAAUAUUCUGUGCUUGUGCUCUCCCUUCCUCAGCCCAGGAGCCCUGAUGACCCUGAGGGACCAGGCAAAAUCCUCCAAGACAAGAAAUCCAGUUUCCAGUGUGGUGCCUGGUACAUGGCAAGUGGCCAAAGCUGCCAAAAGGAAUUGUCACUUCAGCUCCCUAGCUGCCUCAUGUUGGCUCAAACCAAGGUGGCAACCAAAAAUGCCCAGAGGGCCCAGGAGGGAAUGGCAGUGAGGAGCAGGCCAGGUAUGCAGGUAUGCAGCCCUGAGACUGUACAGCCCUCCUAAAGUGUUCCUGCCACACAGCAGGGGUCCUCAUCACUUCAAAGACAUUGAGCUGAGCCCAGUGAGCUUCAAGCCAGUGGCAGAGCUACAAAUGGCGCUGAGGUUCCCAUGAUAUAUCUGUACACCACUGUGGGGCCUCAGGGUCUCAUCAUUGGGCUGCUUACAGGGCCAAGUGCCCAGGCAAAGCAGCCUUCUCCACAGCAGGGCUCAGCCACUGGAACCUCUGCCUUGGCAUCCUAGGAACACUAAUGUGUCUCAAUCUAUAAAGAGGACACCUUUUGUUUGUAUCUUAGAGAACUGAACCCAGACCCUCAUGCAUGUUAUUCAGGUGCUCUAUCUCUAACACCCCCAGCCCAACAAACUUUUUGAGCCUUUUGGUGGGUUUCCCAGCCUAGCAAAUGCUGGCAGACUCAUUACCUGUGAGCUAACAUCUGCCUUGCUUGUACAGUGGCCAAUAGUGGCCCAGGGAUAGGCCAGAGCCUUCUCCCAGGCCUUGAGGGCCCAGAUGAGAAGGUUAAGACAGGUGGAGAGACCAGUGAGAGGUCUUGC
This is a long non-coding RNA of Heterocephalus glaber (naked mole-rat), 1304 nucleotides long. NCBI's taxonomy places the organism in Eukaryota, Metazoa, Chordata, Mammalia, Rodentia, Bathyergidae. The record is from Ensembl.